RNAcentral lists this ribosomal RNA (673 nucleotides) under uncultured beta proteobacterium. RNAcentral's name for it is "bacterial SSU rRNA". It matches the Rfam family "Bacterial small subunit ribosomal RNA", at positions 46 to 716 of the family's 1533-position model. Lineage: Bacteria; Pseudomonadati; Pseudomonadota; Betaproteobacteria. The record is from RNAcentral.
GCCUUACACAUGCAAGUCGAACGGUAACAGGUCUUCGGAUGCUGACGAGUGGCGAACGGGUGAGUAAUACAUCGGAACGUGCCCAGUAAUGGGGGAUAGCUCGGCGAAAGCCGGAUCAAUACCGCAUACGCCCUGAGGGGGAAAGUGGGGGAUCGCAAGACCUCACGUUAUUGGAGCGGCCGAUGGCUGAUUAGCUAGUUGGUAGGGUAAAGGCCUACCAAGGCGACGAUCAGUAGCUGGUCUGAGAGGACGAUCAGCCACACUGGGACUGAGACACGGCCCAGACUCCUACGGGAGGCAGCAGUGGGGAAUUUUGGACAAUGGGGGAAACCCUGAUCCAGCAAUGCCGCGUGUGCGAAGAAGGCCUUCGGGUUGUAAAGCACUUUUGUCAGGGAAGAAAUCCUUUGGGCUAAUACCCUAGGGGGAUGACGGUACCUGAAGAAUAAGCACCGGCUAACUACGUGCCAGCAGCCGCGGUAAUACGUAGGGUGCAAGCGUUAAUCGGAAUUACUGGGCGUAAAGCGUGCGCAGGCGGUUGUGUAAGACAGGUGUGAAAUCCCCGGGCUUAACCUGGGAAUUGCAUUUGUGACUGCACGACUAGAGUGUGUCAGAGGGGGGUGGAAUUCCACGUGUAGCAGUGAAAUGCGUAGAUAUGUGGAGGAACACCAAUGGC